GACGAACGCUGGCGGCGUGCUUAACACAUGCAAGUCGAACGGAAAGGCCCUGCUUGCAGGGUACUCGAGUGGCGAACGGGUGAGUAGCACGUGGGUGAUCUGCCCUGCACUUCGGGAUAAGCCUGGGAAACUGGGUCUAAUACCGGAUAGGAGCCAUUUUUAGUGUGAUGGUUGGAAAGUUUUUUCGGUGUAGGAUGAGCUCGCGGCCUAUCAGCUUGUUGGUGGGGUAAUGGCCUACCAAGGCGGCGACGGGUAGCCGGCCUGAGAGGGUGGACGGCCACUGUGGGGGAAGUGAGGGGCCCGGCCCCCUGCGGGAGGGGGGGGGGGGGAUUUUUGGCCAUGGGGGGCGGCCCGAAGGCGCGGCCCGCGGGGGGGGGGUAACGGCCUUGGGGUGGUAACUUCCUUUGGGAGGGGACGAAGUUUUUUAGAAGGAUCCUAGGAAAGGAGGACCCGGCUAUUACCGUC
Molecule: ribosomal RNA, 465 nt
Filed under: uncultured bacterium
Lineage: Bacteria
Description: partial 16S ribosomal RNA
Rfam family: Bacterial small subunit ribosomal RNA
Source: RNAcentral